GAUGAACGCUGGCGGCGUGCCUAAUACAUGCAAGUCGAGCGAACAGACGAGGAGCUUGCUCCUCUGACGUUAGCGGCGGACGGGUGAGUAACACGUGGAUAACCUACCUAUAAGACUGGGAUAACUUCGGGAAACCGGAGCUCAUACCGGAUAAUAUAUUGAACCGCAUGGUUCAAUAGUGAAAGACGGUUUUGCUUUCACUUAUAGAUGGAUCCGCGCCGCAUUAGCUAGUUGGUAAGGUAACGGCUUACCAAGGCGACGAUGCGUAGCCGACCUGAGAGGGUGACAGGCCACACUGGAACUGAGACACGGUCCAGACUCCUACGGGAGGCAGCCGUAGGGAAUCUUCCGCAAUGGGCGAAAGCCUGACGGAGCAACGCCGCGUGAGUGAUGAAGGUCUUCGGAUCGUAAAACUCUGUUAUUAGGGAAGAACAAAUGUGUAAGUAACUAUGCACGUCUUGACGGUACCUAAUCAGAAAGCCACGGCUAACUACGUG
Molecule: ribosomal RNA, 497 nt
Filed under: uncultured bacterium
Lineage: Bacteria
Description: partial 16S ribosomal RNA
Rfam family: Bacterial small subunit ribosomal RNA
Source: RNAcentral